UAGGGAAUCUUCCACAAUGGGCGCAAGCCUGAUGGAGCAACACCGCGUGAGUGAAGAAGGGUUUCGGCUCGUAAAGCUCUGUUGUUAAAGAAGAACACGUAUGAGAGUAACUGUUCAUACGUUGACGGUAUUUAACCAGAAAGUCACGGCUAACUACGUGCCAGCAGCCGCGGUAAUACGUAGGUGGCAAGCGUUAUCCGGAUUUAUUGGGCGUAAAGAGAGUGCAGGCGGUUUUCUAAGUCUGAUGUGAAAGCCUUCGGCUUAACCGGAGAAGUGCAUCGGAAACUGGAUAACUUGAGUGCAGAAGAGGGUAGUGGAACUCCAUGUGUAGCGGUGGAAUGCGUAGAUAUAUGGAAGAGCACCAGUGGCGAAGGCGGCUACCUGGUCUGCAACUGACGCUGAGACUCGAAAGCAUGGGUAGCGAACAGGAUUAGAUACCCUGGUAGUCCAUGCCGUAAACGAUGAGUGCUAGGUGUUGGAGGGUUUCCGCCCUUCAGUGCCGGAGCUAACGCAUUAAGCACUCCGCCUGGGGAGUACGACCGCAAGGNUG
Molecule: ribosomal RNA, 550 nt
Filed under: uncultured bacterium
Lineage: Bacteria
Description: bacterial SSU rRNA
Rfam family: Bacterial small subunit ribosomal RNA
Source: RNAcentral